UGUAUAUAAGUUGGAAACUGAUACCUUCUACCAAUUAAAUCUGGGGUAUAUUUUUCAUAGAAAGAGUUCCAAAAAAUGUGAACAAUGUUUUCUUUGAUGGAGUAUAGGAUUUGGAUGCUGUUAUUGAAGAAUCGAAGGAGGAGUAUAUUCUUCCGUUGCAAUUAAGACCUGAAAAGGGAGAUACUUUAAUUAGCUGACCGAGGCAGCAAGUCAGCAGAUUGUCCCAAAAAACCAGCCCACCUCAGCCUUGAACAGUGGACCACAUGGUCGACCUUCUCCAACAAAUUUUCGGUGUG
Molecule: long non-coding RNA, 296 nt
Filed under: Panax ginseng (ginseng)
Lineage: Eukaryota; Viridiplantae; Streptophyta; Magnoliopsida; Apiales; Araliaceae
Description: long non-coding RNA (PGIN_LNC011095)
Source: RNAcentral